AGGUGGGGAGUGGGGGCAGUUUGUCUCCAGUUCAUUUAAUGACCCAGGCUAAGCGCCACCAGAGAGGAGCCAAGCCCGGCAACCCCUGGCUUCCUCUGAUCUGAGCUCUCCCCUUAAAGCUGUGCAGCCCCGUGGAAGUGGCAUCAGAUGUGGGAGCGACAGCAGCCAAGGCCACAUCAGGCAACAGCCAUUCCUUCCGCCCAUGUGUGCCAUAAGGAGGAGGAGGAGGAAGGAGACAGGUGCUCACAGGGGGAAUCUUGCCUUGUUGUCCAGGAACCUGAUGCCCAGAGACAGAGACCUCAAGGAGAAGCCUUUUUGGCAUGACUUUGGCAACACUGCCUGCCCAUCAUUGUCUUCUUUGCAUUCAGCUCUCUGGACCAGCAGCUGCACCUUUAGCACCACCUACACAAGGACCAUGCAGUAAAUGCCACCCUUGUGACGGAGGAGGCCUAAGAGACAGCAACAGGUGAGGUGCCCUCUGGUGUUCCCACUCCCUCCUGGGGUGCUGCCAGCACUCGAUCUUGGCUUCCUGGGGUGACCUAUGCAAGGGCCAGAGCUCUGGGUCCAGUCCCACUUGCCCUCAGCCCUGCUCUGCCUGCCCUGCUCUUUCUGCUCCGUGAGGCCAGGGGAAGAUCUGCCCAAGGAAGGAGGCUCCUUCAUCCCCCGCUCAGCUCCCAGCGACCCUCCAGCACAUACUACCGAGGGCAGCCCUGCCCAGACCAUUCCCCCAUUUCCAAGGGCUCUGAAUUACUGUCCGGCUGUUCUCCCAGCCAGAGGCUGAGCCAUCAGAGCUCCUGCCUGUUGUUCUCCAGGUGGCUCGUGCUCUCUCCUGGACUAGCAGGUGGGACAUCAGUGCACGUGGACUAUGGAGCUGGACUCACCACUUCCGUGCCCAGCUCAGACCUGGGGUGAGAGCUGGGGCAGUCACAAGCAGCAGCUCCUAGCGGACGGCCCGUGGGCUGAACUGUUAGGAGCAGCGUGGACGUCUGGCAGCUGUGGGGGCUGCAGGUGCUGUAAGCCCUGGGCACAUUUCUGAGUGCCGGGGCUGUAAGAAGAAGCAGCCAAGUGGUGGAGGACUUUGCUUUUGGCAGCUGCCAGAGACUCGUGCCUCAGGAUCUGGGAAUGUGAGCAGCUUGCCAUGGCUGAUCACGUCCCAGGUUUAGGGACUGGUAGGCACGCGCAGUUUAGAGGUUAGACCAUGGGACAGAGCACCUGCACCCUCCUGCCACCUCUGAAGCAGGCUCCCUGGAUGGCCUUUUAUGAGCCAACCCCCCUUGCUGAACAGAUCCAGACUCUCCAGGCACCAAAAUAGGGGCAGCUGAGCUCCCAGCAGCUAGUCAUGCUGGAAGAUCAGGCUUCUGCUCCUCCAAGUGAAACUGGGAGUCAUGCUGGUCCCUGGAGCCAGGGGUACCAGGAUAUCCAGUCCACUCCUGCUUAGUCACCGAGAUCCUCUAUGGUGAGGUGCCAGCGAAGUGCUAGGUGCCAUUGCUCCUGACGGUGACAAAGCAAGCCAUGCUUGCUGCCACAUGCAAGCUGGGGAGAGCUUCGUACGCACUGUACUUCCAAGGUUUGGACUGACGUGUUCCCAGCCACAAGGAGCCAAUGAGUAAUUCUGUAGGUGGCACAUGUUGCUGUGCCAGGGGCUCUGGCUGGAUUACUCAUACUUACUACAGACAUACGACUAAGAACAGCUGGGAGCUUAACUUCAGAAGCUGCAAAAUGGUAUGGGGGUGUCAGAGAAGAAGCGGUGCCUGAUUUAAGACCUGGUCCCUGACCCUCAGCUCUUUGCAGGUGGCUUAAUGCCAGCCCUGUACCCAGGUGGGCUGUGCCCUUUGAGCAGUGCUGCCUGUUUCAAUGCCAAACCACCUUCAGGAUCCAGGCCCGUGUUUGCUCUUCCUCAGUACUAGGAGACCUGUUCUUUGGUCCUAUGCAAGACCCAAGAAACUUGUUGCAAGACCCAAGGAACUUGUUGCAGAGACUGCACUCUUAAAGCAGGGGAUUCUGGAAAAUGUCCUUCUCAGACGCAGGAUGUGAUGGGGGAUCAGGCAAGGGGAUCUUUGAAGACCAAACAGGUACUCACUCCUGGGUCCAAGGGCUUCCCACUGCUUUAACCUCCUUGAGCGCUGCCAGUGCUACUUCUGGGAUCACUUCAUCACUCAUCCUGUAACCCCAGUGGCUUCAGAUGGGAUGCAGGAAGAGCUGGGCUUCUCUGUCUGCUGCAAGUUGCACCGAUUUCAGAGCUCCCUGCCCGCUCCCUCACUGAUACCCAAGGUCUCUCCUGCAUAAGCUUGGCUCUAAACUAAAGACUGAGCAAGGGGCAUGUGGAGCCUCCAGUGGCACUAGAGACCCAUCACUGAUUUCAGUAAUGCUUUUGUCAGUCCCAUGACCCUACCUGCUGGAUACCUGGGCACUUACCGUUAGGGCUGACCCUCCAUUUGCAGUGGGUGGCUUAACCCCUGCCUGCGCAAUGACCCUGUCAGGACUUCCUGGGCCACAGACAGUUUCAUUCUGUUUUCAUACAGCGCUGAGCAAAUACUCAGUCUCUAGGCAUAGGAGCAGUAAAAUAGGCACCAUGUGAACCACAGGUCUGAAAAGUCUUGCUGCCAGGUCUCCAUGCCUUGCAGGGUUAACCGAGAUGUAAAUGGUACCUAAGCCUCUUGCUGGUCCUCCGAAUGGGAUGGCUUUCCCAGCCCAGCCCAGCCCACAUGAAGCAAACUGAUGCCACCCACUUAGGGCUUUACACAUGGGGCCAGACCCUGUGGCAUGCUCAGCCCUUGCCUCCCCUGCUUUCUCUGGUGCGGCUCAGGGCCCUUCUGGGAUUUGCUUGCGAGCGGCUUGGAGUCCUUGGAACUGUUGCCUUUCCCUCUAGAACAGACCACGGCCGCCCGGUCCU
Molecule: long non-coding RNA, 2893 nt
Organism: Gavialis gangeticus (Gharial)
Lineage: Eukaryota; Metazoa; Chordata; Crocodylia; Gavialidae
Exons: 3
Source: RefSeq, a predicted model, not a curated record